AUCCAGCUGACGCGUCCCAAAUAGGACGAAACGCGCGUCAAACUGGAU
This is a non-coding RNA of Schistosoma rodhaini, 48 nucleotides long. Lineage: Eukaryota; Metazoa; Platyhelminthes; Trematoda; Strigeidida; Schistosomatidae. The record is from Rfam.